UACGUAGGGGGCAAGCGUUGUCCGGAAUCAUUGGGCGUAAAGAGCGUGUAGGCGGCCCGGUAAGUCCGCUGUGAAAGUCCAGGGCUCAACCCUGGGAUGCCGGUGGAUACUGUCGGGCUCGAGUCCCGGAGAGGAGAGUGGAAUUCCUGGUGUAGCGGUGAAAUGCGUAGAUAUCGGGAGGAACACCUGUGGCGAAAGCGGCGCACUGGACCACAACUGACGCUGAGGCGCGAAAGCUAGGGGAGCAAACAGG
This 253-nucleotide ribosomal RNA is filed under the name uncultured bacterium. RNAcentral's name for it is "partial 16S ribosomal RNA". It matches the Rfam family "Bacterial small subunit ribosomal RNA", at positions 524 to 776 of the family's 1533-position model. The record is from RNAcentral.